UUUUAGGUGAAACAUGUUCUUGAAAAUUGCAAGGAAGAUAUGGAUUUCUUCAACAAUUGUAUUGAGAAAGGGAUCAUCGAUCGUUUGAGUGAUGUUGAGAAAAGGUUUGUGCGAAUGAAGUACACAGAUGCAGUUGAACUGCUUCUAUAAUCAAAGAAGAAAUUUGAAUUUCCGGUGAAAUGGGGAUGUGAAUUGCAAAGUGAGCAUGAACAUUAUACAACUGAGGAGGCUUUUAAUGGAUGUCCUGUUAUUAUAACAAACUAC
This is a long non-coding RNA of Helianthus annuus (common sunflower), 264 nucleotides long. RefSeq lists it as uncharacterized. NCBI's taxonomy places the organism in Eukaryota, Viridiplantae, Streptophyta, Magnoliopsida, Asterales, Asteraceae. The transcript is spliced from 3 exons. The record is from RefSeq and is a predicted model, not a curated record.